AUUCGGCUGAUGCAUCACAAAUAGGACGAAACACACGUCCUGAAU
This 45-nucleotide non-coding RNA is filed under the name Schistosoma margrebowiei. Lineage: Eukaryota; Metazoa; Platyhelminthes; Trematoda; Strigeidida; Schistosomatidae. The record is from RNAcentral.